RNAcentral lists this ribosomal RNA (484 nucleotides) under uncultured bacterium. RNAcentral describes it as "partial 16S ribosomal RNA". It matches the Rfam family "Bacterial small subunit ribosomal RNA", at positions 28 to 507 of the family's 1533-position model. The record is from RNAcentral.
AUUGAACGCUGGCGGCAUGCUUUACACAUGCAAGUCGAACGGCAGCGCGGGCUUCGGCCUGGCGGCGAGUGGCGAACGGGUGAGUAAUGCAUCGGAACGUGCCCAGUAGUGGGGGAUAGCCCGGCGAAAGCCGGAUUAAUACCGCAUACGACCUGAGGGUGCAAGCGGGGGACCGAAAGGCCUCGCGCUAUUGGAGCGGCCGAGGUCGGAUUGGUCAGGUGGUGGGGGAAAGGCUUACUAAGGCGACGAUCGGUAGCUGGUCUGGUAGGACGACCGGCCGCACUGGGACUGGGACACGCCCCAGACUACUACGGGAGGCAGCAGUGGGGAAUUGUGGACAAUGGGGGCAACCCUGAUCCAGCCAUGCCGCGUGCGGGAAGAAGGCCUUCGGGUUGUAAACCGCUUUUGUUCGGGAAGAAAUCCUCUGGGCUAAUACCCCGGGGGGAUGACGGUACCGGAAGAAUAAGCACCGGCUAACUACGUG